AGACCGCGAUAACCUCGGGAAACUGAGGCCAAUAGCGGAUAUUACUCUCAGGCUGGAGUGCCGAGAGUGAGAAACGUUCCGGCGCUGUAGGAUGUGGCUGCGGCCGAUUAGGUAGAUGGUGGGGUAACGGCCCACCAUGCCGAUAAUCGGUACAGGUUGUGAGAGCAAGAGCCUGGAGACGGUAUCUGAGACAAGAUACCGGGCCCUACGGGGCGCAGCAGGCGCGAAACCUUUACACUGCACGACAGUGCGAUAGGGGGACUCCGAGUGUGAGGGCAUAUAGCCCUCGCUUUUCUGAACCGUAAGGUGGUACAGGAACAAGGACUGGGCAAGACCGGUGCCAGCCGCCGCGGUAAUACCGGCAGUCCAAGUGAUGGCCGAUAUUAUUGGGCCUAAAGCGUCCGUAGCUUGCUGUGUAAGUCCAUUGGGAAAUCGACCAGCUCAACUGGUCGGCGUCCGGUGGAAACUACACAGCUUGGGGCCGAGAGACUCAACGGGUACGUCCGGGGUAGGAGUGAAAUCCUGUAAUCCUGGACGGACCACCAAUGGGGAAACCACGUUGAGAGACCGGACCCGACAGUGAGGGACGAAAGCCAGGGUCUCGAACCGGAUUAGAUACCCGGGUAGUCCUGGCUGUAAA
This 640-nucleotide ribosomal RNA is filed under the name Haloarcula hispanica ATCC 33960. RNAcentral describes it as "bacterial SSU rRNA". It matches the Rfam family "Archaeal small subunit ribosomal RNA", at positions 118 to 757 of the family's 1478-position model. Lineage: Archaea; Methanobacteriati; Methanobacteriota; Halobacteria; Halobacteriales; Haloarculaceae. The record is from RNAcentral.